GGGGGAGGGAUGGUCAAAGAGAAGAUUGCAGAGAACCAAAGGAUUGCGGUCUGACAUGGGAUUUAGGGAAGCUGCGGGAAGGACCAAAAUGAAAGCGGAAUUGAGAGUUCUAGAGACAAAGUGAAAGUAACUAAUUAUUCACUCUGGGAGAAACCAGCUGCCAUGUCAUAAGGAUACUCAAGAUGCACUCUGCAAUGUCCACAUGGCAAAAAACUCAGUGCUUCUGCCAAUAGGAAGCCCAAGAACUUGAGCUUUCUGCACAGUCAGCCUUAAAAUGACUAUAGUUUGGGAUGACAUCUUGACUGCAACCUCAUGAGAGACGCUGAGCCAGAACCCCCUUGGUAAGGUGCUCCUAAAUUCCUGAACCACAGCAGAAAUUGUGAGAUAAUAUUUAGUGCUUUAAUCUACUAGAUUUUGAGGUAAUUGUCUUUCAAGACACAGUUUCACUCUUGUCACCCAGGCUGGAGUGCGAAUGGCAUGAUCUCCUCUUACUGCAACCUCCACCUCCUGGGUUCAAUCGAUUCUCCUGCCUCAGCCUCCAAAGUAGCUGGGAUUAUAGGCACCCACCACCAUGCCUAGCUAAUUUUUGUAUUCUUAGUAGAGACGGAGUUUCACCAUGUUGUCCAGGCUGGUCUCAAACUCUUGAGCUCAGGUGAUCCACCCUCCUUGGUCUCCCAAAGUGCUGGGAUUACAGUUUUACGCCACCACACCCGGCCUUGAAUUAAUUUGUACACAGAUAACUAAUACAUUGAUGCUCCUUCUAAAUAAAGUGCCAUUUUUGUUCAAGAAGCCUUAGCAUAACAAAUAUCCCAAUCCUGUGAAUCUCUAGAAGUUGUCAUGUAGUAAAUGAUUACUGACACACUAUAAGUUAUAAUACCUUAAGAAUAAUAUACUGUUCAUUCAGUACUUAAUAUAUACAUACAUGAAUUUUAUAAACACAGAAACUUAGCCUAAGAAUCUGCCUAAUUCCCCUAUUAUUAACAUCAUACGUGAGUAUGGUACAUUAGUAAUGAUCAAUGAACAAAUAUCAAUCUAUUAUUACUAAUUAAAUUUCACACUUUAUUCAAAUUUCCUUACUUUCUCUUUAAUCUCUAAAGUUCUAUGAAUCCAUGGUUCUAUUUCUGCACUGAUUCACUUGUGUUUUUACUACAGACUUCUGCAUCUAAAAUACUAUUUUUACUAGAUUAUUUUACCAAACUAAUUUCACUGAAUGUCUUCCAAAGUAUGAACACUUUUAUUUUAAAGUUUUCUUAAUAUUCUCAUGGCAACAUCAAAAUUUAAGGAAGUCUGUUUGUCAUCAGAAAGGGGUUUUGGUAACUUGUUCUGUUAGGUUUGCAAACUUUUCAUACUAUUUGUUCUUACAUCACUUCCAUGCUAUUUCCUUUGCUUUUAGGGCAUUACUUUUUUUCAAAAUGUUGAAAUAAAUAAAUGUUUAUACAUUAUAUUUUUAAGUAUCUAUUUCCUUAAUCUACUAAGGUAAACUUUUCUCAAGCCAUUUUUACUUAAAAGGAUAUUACAUAGAAAAAAAUAGUAGGAGAACAAUAAUAUCUGACACAUUUCAAAUGUUCUUUGAACUUUGUUAGUUUAGUGUCAGUUAUUGACUGCUUGAAUUGGAGAACGCCCUGCUCAUAUCAGUUACAGCCAGUCAAAAUUAUCAAGAACACAUCACAGGAAUCACUGUCAUCAGUUAUUGAUAGGAAGAUUGCACAGUGAGUUGAUGUAUUCAAUAGAAGAUUGUAUGUGGUAGAAAGAAAAUAAAAAUUGUAAAUGUAAGUCAACAGUAAAUCCAAAAGCCAUGUCUUCCAAGGGAAAUUUAAAAACUAGGUUUCCUACUUCCUUUCAUCAUUACAAGAGUUAUUCAUUUCUGGUUCAAAAAUCUUGUUUACCUCCUUUUGAAAGUUAUUCUUUAAAACAUUAGGCCAGAUGAGCUAAUUUCAGAUGGCUUAUUUACCUGAUCUUGGAUUUAUAUGCCACCUGCUUUUGCUUUUUCUACAGAUGCAAAGUCAACCUCUGGGGCAAAAUUCCACCUUUCUCUUUCUGCCACACAAGUGGUAAAUAACAUGACCCAAUAAAUUUUAGCAUUUCCCCAAAUGUGUAGGAUACAAAAAAUGUAUUCAUUCAUGUGAGAUAUAAAAAUGUACACUCACACUUCUGAAAUCAGCAGCCAGCCAUUUCACACUUGGGCCAAAGGCAAACAAACAUAAUUCUCACUGGCAGCUGGACAACAUUCCGAGCUGCCACCACAUUAAUUAACUCACCUCAAUCGGAUUCCACUUCAACUUGCACAGCUUGCUGCCAAGAAACCUAGCAAUAAAUUGUCAGGUUAAAUACUGAACAAGGUAGGGAAAUACCAUAUGGUAUGUUGUUAUAGAGGGUGGGAUAUUCUUGUUUAACACUAGUAGCAGAGUUUUCCAUUUACUUUUUAUUGUUGUCUCUUGUGAUUUGAGAAAAAUGAAUAUAUGUUCUUGUUGAUAAAUGAACUUGCAUGCCUUAUUGUGAAGGGGAACGAAUGGGAUGGUAACAAGUUAACAAAACACCUUUGUCCACAAGCUUCUAUAGUUGAUAUCCCCUAAAUCUGAAGACAACAGCUUACUUAACAAGUGCUGGGUAAAUUAUUGGUAUUAAACCUUUGGGGAAUGUCAAGGAACAAAGAACUCAAAUUCCCUUAUUGGGAAUUUAUAAAUAAAUGCAAACUACUUAUAACUAAAAAUUGUAGCUUGGGAGUCAAGAUUUAAGUAUGAGUCCAGUUUCUGCCUCUGACUGGCUGUCCACUUCAGCCAAAUCAUUUGACUUCUCUCAAAUUAUGUCCUGUCACAUGAAGGAGUAGAAUGGUUCCCAAACCUUAAUGCACACAUCAUUUUAAGAAGCUUGUUAAAAAUGCAGAUUCUGACUGCGGUGGCUCACGCCUGUAAUCCCAGCACUUUGGGAGGCCAAGGCUGGUGGAUCAUGAGGUCAGGAGUUCGAGACCAGCCUGGCCAACAUGGUGAAAACCCAUCUCUACUAAAGAUACAAAAAAUUAGCUGGGCAUGGUAGCACGGGCACCUGUAAUCCUAGCUACUCAGGAGGCUGAGGCAAGAGAAUUGCUUGAACCCAGAAGGCGGAGGUUGCAGUGAGCCAAGAUUGCACCAUUACACUCUAGCCUGGGCAACAGGGCGAGAUUCUGUCUCCAAAAAAAGAAAGGAAAAGAAAAAAAUGCAGUUUCUUGGAUUCCACCCUUGGCUUGAAAUUGAUUAGUUUUGACAUACAGCCUAGUAAUCUGAAUUUAUAAUAAGCAAGAAAUUAUUUUGUAGAUAUAGAACCCAUACUUUGAGAAAUAACUGGACUACAUUUUCUAUCCCUUUACCUCUGACAGUGUAUUAUUCUAAUUACCAAUCAGUAUCAUUGUUUUUAUAACUUGUGGUGUGAUUUUGGAAAGUGGUAUAAUUGGGAAUGGUAACUCGAGGCUUAAUAUACAAUAGGUAGUUCAAAACCCUAGUGGAAAAAGAAUGAGAACAUUUGAAUGUGACUACCCAAAUACCUGUGAGCAUUUUCCUGGGGUUGUAGGAUGGGUGAUAGCUGACUGACUGUUCCCUCCAGAAAAUUUGCCUGUAUACAUAGUAAGACUCCAAAUAUAAACAAAGAAAAACACUGAAAACCAUCCUACAGCUUUAUUCAUAUUCCUGAUCACUCACCCAAGAGAAGACUUUCUGUGCCCUAAGGGUAUUGUUACGAAUGCUCAUUUCUUUGCUUCUUGUGUAUCUGGUAUAUUCUGCUUCUUUGUUAAAUUCCAAAAUCAAAAACAAGUAUUUUGUAUUUGUGAGAUUUCAAAAGUCUAGGAACUUUUGAAAACCUCAUUCUUUUAGCUUCUAAGACAUGAUUUGAUAAGUAAAGAGAAAGCUCUUACUGGAAAAAGCUCAUAACUUAUUAAAUAGGUGCGUAUGAAUUUAUACUAAUUCACAUAUCUUUUUCCAACUGAUUCCUCUUAUGACUAGCAGAAAGCCGUAAUACAGCUGUCUGGGGCCAGCCUUAAAUUAGGAAGAGGGCAUGCUUAACAGGUCACAUAAGAGGGUGUGCAACACAGGCUUUUCUCACCAUGUCACAAAAUUAACAGACUUGACACUCCAAAACUAGACAUUAUUAGUUUACUUUUAAAACUGUGAAAUUACCUUUGUUAUUAGUUUCUAUCAGUGGGGAUUGUAAAAUGACAAUGUGGUAGUUGCUUUGAAGAAGUCUGAUUCUCUUAUAUUUAAUCAGUUCUUUCCAAGCUGCUCUAAUUGUCACAAACAUUCCCAAGUUUUAAUAAUGUUCCUCAGAGUAUGGAUAGAUUAUCCUUAUUGGUCUUUGUAUUCUCCUCAGCCACUAAAAUCUGGCUCUUAACUUGUAAAUUCUCAAUAAUGGAAUGUUGCCCUAAGAUAUUUUGGCAGAAAAGCAAGUGUUGAAUCCUGCUGCAGACUUCCUCAUCCCCUGCAGGUGGUGCUGGGAGAUAGGUUCUCUAUUUACUUAUUUAAUCAUAAUUAGUUGGGCUAGUAAAGGUGUUCUCAGUUCUUGGUUUAAAGCUGUUGCAAUUAUCUAAAGUUCUUCCUCCCCUUCACUGUUGUUAUUGAGUUACAGAGGAGAAGAAAAAGACUAAAAAAGGUGAUCCAACUGAAGAGAACAGAGACAUUAAGAUAACAGAUGGUGUCUCCCAUGCCUAGCAGUAGAAAGAUGCUGCAGGGCUUUAGAAGAAAGAGAAUUUGUACACUCUUACUUUCAAAAGAGAACACAUAUUCAGGAAAUUUUUCUGUAGAACUAUCUGACUAUCUCACCAGAUCUACUGUAUUAACUCUAGUACUGAAUCUGUCAUCCUUAUAUGUCAAAUAUUUCUCACCAUCGUCAUAUAUCAGUGGUUGUUAGUAUUUGGGACUUAGAGGUUUCCUGUACAACGCAGUUUAUGACACCACCCAAUUAUGGUUAGCAGCUCUUUCCUCUGUCUUCAUCCAGAUUAAUGAAUGUAUUGCUUAUUUUACUAUCUGAAUCUUCCACUUAGUUGGGAGCUCCUAUAAAGUACAGAUUGUGUCUUUAUCAUCUUUGAAUCACUAGUUCUUACCUUGCUUCUUUGAAUGUAGUAAACACUAAAUACAUUAAAAGAGUAAAGCAAUCAACAAAUCAAUUAGAAUAGUGCCAGCCAUAUAACUUUAGAAUUGCCUGAAACCAAGUAUGAAUUUCUUUUCUAUCAUUCCUGCCCUGAAGCUUUCUGAUGCCAAAAUUAGAGGUCAGUGAAGAUGGUUCUGAUUAAAGAAGCUGGUAUUUUUAAUUGAUAGAACAUGAUCCCCCAACAUACAUUUCUAGCCAUAGCUCCUCUACCUCCCCCAUAUGAAUCUUUCACAACUACCAGACUGGUCUGUUCGCUCUCUCUAUAACAUGCCUUAUGCCUUCCUACCUCUGAAAUUAUGCCAUCCCUCUAUUUUGCCCGUAGUUUCUUUUAAUCAGUGGUUCUAAGAGUGCUUCUCGGAGGCCCGCUCACAAUGGCAGUGCUGUGGUCACAAUAACACUAAGAUGGUGCUUGCCUUUUUACUCUCGCAUUCUGUUACAGGUGUACAGUAGAGUUUUCCAGAGACUACAUGACAUACAGCAUCACAUGCUUCAGUAUAACCGAAGCAAAUAUAAGAAUCCACCAGUUUUCUAUUAAAAUGUAAAACAAUACCACUUUCCCGUUUUUGUUUGGGGAAAUACAGUUACUUUCCAUAAAAAUAUUUAUGUUAACAUGUAAUUUAGGUUAAAAUAAAUUAAUACCUAU
Non-coding RNA from Callithrix jacchus (white-tufted-ear marmoset), 5755 nucleotides. Lineage: Eukaryota; Metazoa; Chordata; Mammalia; Primates; Cebidae. The record is from RefSeq and is a predicted model, not a curated record.